RNAcentral lists this ribosomal RNA (119 nucleotides) under Pteropus alecto (black flying fox). Lineage: Eukaryota; Metazoa; Chordata; Mammalia; Chiroptera; Pteropodidae. The record is from RNAcentral.
GUCUAUAGCCAUGCUACCCUGAACAAGCCCGAUCCCAUCUGAUCUCAGAAGCUAAGCAGGGUUGGGCCUGGUUAGUACUUGGAUGGGAGACCACCUAGGAAGACCAGGUGCUGUUGGCA